This 343-nucleotide ribosomal RNA is filed under the name Microcalanus pygmaeus. RNAcentral describes it as "partial 28S ribosomal RNA". Lineage: Eukaryota; Metazoa; Arthropoda; Copepoda; Calanoida; Clausocalanidae. The record is from RNAcentral.
GAGUACGUGAAACUGUGUGGUGGUAAACGGAGGGGUUCUCGAAGUUUCUGUGGGGAACUCAACUUUGGUGUUGGGCGGUCUGGGCGUAUCCGAUCAGCAAUGACGGUGCGUUUGGUCUGGCUUGACUCCCGGGUGCAUUUUCCCCGCAGUUUACGGCAGGAACCGUUUGGCUCGGAUCAAAGGCCUUGGGUGAAGUUGUCGGUUCUGCUGGCAGCCCCUUGUGUCCUGGCUCUGCGCCCGACGGGUACGUGAGAGGACUCGUAUAGCGAGCAACGCUCUGUUGCGGUCCUCAUCUCUCUGCCGAGUAGGUCGGCGGCCCCUCCGACCCGUCUUGAAACACGGA